CCUACGGGUGGCAGCAGUGAGGAAUAUUGGUCAAUGGUCGGGAGACUGAACCAGCCAAGCCGCGUGCGGGAGGAAGGUACAGAGUAUCGUAAACCUCUUUUGUCAGGGAACAAAGGCGGGGACGUGUCCCCGGAUGAGUGUACCUGAAGAAAAAGCAUCGGCUAACUCCGUGCCAGCAGCCGCGGUAAUACGGAGGAUGCGAGCGUUAUCCGGAUUUAUUGGGUUUAAAGGGUGCGCAGGCGGUGUAUUAAGUCAGCGGUAAAAUCCCGGGGCUCAACGCCGGCCAGCCGUUGAAACUGGUAGUAUAGAGUUGGAGAGAAGUAUGCGGAAUGCGCGGUGUAGCGGUGAAAUGCAUAGAUAUCGCGCAGAACUCCGAUUGCGAAGGCAGCAUGCCGGCUCCCGACUGACGCUGAGGCACGAAAGCGUGGGUAUCGAACAGGAUUAGAUACCCUUGUAGUC
Molecule: ribosomal RNA, 459 nt
Filed under: uncultured bacterium
Lineage: Bacteria
Description: partial 16S ribosomal RNA
Rfam family: Bacterial small subunit ribosomal RNA
Source: RNAcentral